CCUACGGGGGGCUGCAGUGGGGAAUAUUGGACAAUGGGGGCAACCCUGAUCCAGCCAUGCCGCGUGUGUGAAGAAGGCCCUCGGGUUGUAAAGCACUUUCAGUGAGGAAGAACGCCUGGUGGUUAAUACCCAUCAGGAAAGACAUCACUCACAGAAGAAGCACCGGCUAACUCCGUGCCAGCAGCCGCGGUAAUACGGAGGGUGCGAGCGUUAAUCGGAAUUACUGGGCGUAAAGCGCGCGUAGGUGGCUUGAUAAGCCGGUUGUGAAAGCCCCGGGCUCAUCCUGGGAACGGCAUCCGGAACUGUCAAGCUAGAGUGCAGGAGAGGAAGGUAGAAUUCCCGGUGUAGCGGUGAAAUGCGUAGAGAUCGGGAGGAAUACCAGUGGCGAAGGCGGCCUUCUGGACUGACACUGACACUGAGGUGCGAAAGCGUGGGUAGCAAACAGGAUUAGAUACCCUGGUAGUC
Molecule: ribosomal RNA, 465 nt
Filed under: Vreelandella stevensii
Lineage: Bacteria; Pseudomonadati; Pseudomonadota; Gammaproteobacteria; Oceanospirillales; Halomonadaceae
Description: partial 16S ribosomal RNA
Rfam family: Bacterial small subunit ribosomal RNA
Source: RNAcentral